Molecule: ribosomal RNA, 463 nt
Filed under: uncultured bacterium
Lineage: Bacteria
Description: bacterial SSU rRNA
Rfam family: Bacterial small subunit ribosomal RNA
Source: RNAcentral
UCGAGAAUCUUCCGCAAUGGGCGAAAGCCUGACGGAGCGACACCGCGUGCAGGACGAAGGCCCUCGGGUUGUAAACUGCUGUCACGCUCUAGGAAUGCCAUGUCGUUAAUAGCGGCAUGGUUGACCAAGGCGAAAGGAAGUGGCGGCUAACUCUGUGCCAGCAGCCGCGGUAAGACAGAGGCCACGAACGUUGUUCGGAAUCACUGGGCAUAAAGCGCGCGUAGGCGGCUAGGUCCGUCCAAUGUGAAAGCCCCCGGCUCAACCGGGGAAUUGCAUCGGAUACAGCCCGGCUUGAGGACGGUUGGGGUGAGUGGAACUCCUGGUGGAGCGGUGAAAUGCGUAGAUAUCAGGAGGAACACCGGUGGCGAAAGCGGCUCACUGGACCGUUACUGACGCUGAGGUGCGAAAGCUAGGGGAGCAAACGGGAUUAGAUACCCCCGUAGUCCCUGAGCGGGCUGGCAAG